GCCCGGCCUUCGCGGCGGCCUUCGGUGGUGGGCAGCUGAGGGACACGGGUCACCCGCCGCGUGGUGGAUUCCCGCCGCGGGCGGCGAAGGCCGCCGUAGUUAGCACCCUCCCGAAACACCGAAACGUUACCGUCUGCGGCUGGGGCUAGAGGGGAGGAGGCACCGGCCUGAAGCCGUCUGGCCGGCGGCGGUUGUGCGGUCUGGGCAGCGGGUCCUCCCGGCCUGGCAAAGGUCCUGCUGCCAUCCGAGGAAAUCUCCGUGUGCUUAUGGACGUUUACUGUGCAAGCCUCCCCACGCCUUACUGCCCCUGCCUUUGCAGACGAGGAGAGGGAGGCCGGAGAGCUUUUUGCCAAGGAUAACAAACUCGUUGUCCAAUGAGCUGGCCAGCCCCUGUAAUUGAACCUACUCCUCACCCUCUCAGCCUGGGAAACCUGCCUUUCGUGCCUCCAUCCACAACAGCCCACUUCUCAGUAAAAAGAAGAAGAUUGUCUCCCACAUUCAUGGACUCAGACAAGCAUGGACAGAUGCCUGACUCCAUUAUCACCUUCUCCUUCAUCAUGAAAAAGCCAAGCAAAAUCCUAGGGCACUUUAAGGCCACAAAAUGGGUCAGUAAUGCUGGGGGUGGGGGAAGCAAUGAAGAAAUUCCCUUGCUGUGCCUGCUGGAGAGUGAAUCAAGCAGAUACAAACCUACUUUCUGCAGCUGGGAGACAUCACUUGAGGGAUCCCUGAAGUGGUUCAGGGCGGGGGUCAUGCUGUUCUCAAAAUUUCCAGGGCAUCAGCAAGAAGAAGUAUCCUCUGUCAGCAUAUCCAGAAGUAUGAUUGAAAACUAGCAUGGGAAUCUUCUUCCCAGCAGAACACAGGAAAGCAAGAAUUUGUUGUUUGAAAAAGUCUGUCCGACAGGAAUAUUAAACAGGCUUUCACUUAGCAGGAUAUGUACAUGUUGGCUUCUAGAGACCAGGAAGGAGAGAAGUCACCUCAAGCAGCAGCUUAUUGGAGAACUGUGAGACGUUGUAUAGCCAGAGGAAGAAGCUGGCAAAAAUUGGCAGAGCCCUACAGAGGAACAAGCUCUUUUCUGUCCUUCAGCAUCCAGUAUGGCUCUUAGUUAUAUUCUGCUGUUUCACCUGACAGUAUUUUUAUUAUAAAGCCUUGGCUGCAGUGACCAUGAAAGGGUGGAGUUCAAGAUCCUUUGGGCAGCAAGGAGGGCACACAGCAAGCUCACUGCCCUGGCCUGCAGGAGAGCAGACUUCGGCCUCUUCAUGGAUCUGCUUGGUAGAGUACCAUGGGAUACAGCCCUGUAGGGAAGAGGGGCCCAAGAAAGCUGGUUAAUAUUCAAGGAUCACCUCCUCCAAGCUCAGGAGCGAUGCAUCCCAACAAAGAGGAAGUCAGGCAAAAACACCAGGAGGCCUGCAUGGAUGAACAAGGAGCUCCUGGACAAACUCAAACACAAAAAGGAAGCCUACAGAGGGUGGAAGCAAGGACAGGUAGCCUGGGAGGAAUACAGAGAAAUUAUCCAAGCAGCCAGGGAUCAGGUUAGGAAAGCCAAAGCCCUGAUAGAAUUAUAUCUGGCCAGAGACAUCAAGGGCAGCAAGAAAAGCUUCCAUAGGUACAUUGGUGAUAAAAGGAAGACUAGGGAAAAUGUGGGCUCCCGCCAGAAGGAAAUGGGAGACCUGGUUAUCCAGGAUAUGGAGAAGGCUGAGGUACUCAAUUACUUUUUUGCCUCAGUCUUCACCAGCCAGUGCUCCAGCCACACUGCCCAACAGAUGUAACAACAGAUGUAAUCUGCCUGGACUUGUGCAAAGUGUUUGACAUCGUCCCACACAACAUCCUUGUCUCUAAAUUGGAGAGACGUGGAUUUGACGGAUGGACCACUCGGUGGAUAAGGGAUUGGCUGGAUGGUCGUACUCAAAGACUCAACAGCUUGAUGUCCAAGUGGAGAGCAGUGACGAGUGGCGUUCCUCGGGUCGGUAUUAGGACUGGCACUGUUUAACAGCUUUGUUGGCAACAUGGACAGUGGGACAAGUUUGCUGAUGACACCAAGCUGUGUGGUGCUGUCAGCACGCUGGAGGCAAAGGAUGCCAUCCAGAGGGACCUUGACAGGCUUGAGAGGUGGACCCAUGCAAACCUCAUGAAGUUCAACAAGGCCAAGUGCAAGGUCCUGCACAUGGGUCAGGGCAAUCCCAAGCACAAAUACAGGCUGGGCAGAGAAUGGAUUAAGAGCGGACCUGAGAAGAAGGACUUGUCGGUGUUGGUUGACGAGAAGGUCAACAUGACCCAGCAAUGUGUGUUUGCAGCCCAGAAAGCCAACCAUAUCCUGGCCUGCAUCAAAAGAAGCGUGACCAGCAGGUCGAGGGAGGUGAUUCUCGCCCUCUACUCUGCUCUCAUGAGACCCCACCUGGAGUACUGCGUUCAGCUCUGGGGUCCCCAACAUAAGAAGGACAUGGACCUGUUGGAUUGAGUCCAGAGGAGGGCCAUGGAGAUGAUCAGAGGGCUGGAGCACCUCUCCUAUGAAGACAGGCUGACAGAGUUGGGAUUGUUCAGCCUGGAGAAGAGAAGGCUCCAGGGAGACCUAAUAGCAGCCUUCUAGUACAUAAGGGGUCCUACAAGAAAGCUGGAGAGGGACUUUUUACAAGGCACUGGAACAGGUUGCCCAGAGACGCUGUGGAUGCCCCAUCCCUGGAAACAUUCAAGG
Molecule: long non-coding RNA, 2689 nt
Organism: Harpia harpyja (harpy eagle)
Lineage: Eukaryota; Metazoa; Chordata; Aves; Accipitriformes; Accipitridae
Exons: 4
Source: RefSeq, a predicted model, not a curated record